UACGUAGGUGACAAGCGUUGUCCGGAUUUACUGGGCGUAAAGAGCGCGCAGGCGGUCGUUCAAGUCGAGUGUGAAAGCCCCCGGCUCAACUGGGGAGGGUCAUUCGAUACUGAUCGACUCGAAGGCAGGAGAGGGAAGUGGAAUUCCCGGUGUAGUGGUGAAAUGCGUAGAUAUCGGGAGGAACACCAGUGGCGAAAGCACUCUGCUGGGCCGACACUGACACUGAGAGACGAAAGCUAGGGGAGCGAAUGGG
RNAcentral lists this ribosomal RNA (253 nucleotides) under uncultured bacterium. RNAcentral describes it as "partial 16S ribosomal RNA". It matches the Rfam family "Bacterial small subunit ribosomal RNA", at positions 524 to 776 of the family's 1533-position model. The record is from RNAcentral.